This 32-nucleotide non-coding RNA is filed under the name Homo sapiens (human). The record is from RNAcentral. Lineage: Eukaryota; Metazoa; Chordata; Mammalia; Primates; Hominidae.
UCCCUACUCGUGCGCAGCAAACCCUGGGGGUC